This 500-nucleotide ribosomal RNA is filed under the name uncultured bacterium. Its description in RNAcentral is "partial 16S ribosomal RNA". It matches the Rfam family "Bacterial small subunit ribosomal RNA", at positions 30 to 523 of the family's 1533-position model. The record is from RNAcentral.
AUUGAACGCUGGCGGACUGCUUUACACAUGCAAGUCGAACGGCAGCACGGACUUCGGUCUGGUGGCGAGUGGCGAACGGGUGCGUAAUAUACCGGAACGUGCCCAGUCUUGGGGGUUCACGUAGCGAAAGAUACGCUAAUACCGCAUACGAUCUACGGAGGAAAGCGGAGGAUCGCAAAACCUCUUGCGAUGAGAGCUCCUGAUAUCAGAUUAGGAAGUUGGUGAGGUAAAGGCUAACCAAGCCGACGAUCUGUAGCUGGUCUGAGAGGACGACCAGCCACACUGGGACUGAGACACGGCCCAGACUCCUACGGGAGGCAGCAGUGGGGAAUUUUGGACAAUGGACGCAAGUCUGAUCCAGCCAUUCCGCGUGCAGGACGAAGGCCUUCGGGUUGUAAACUGCUUUUGUACAGAACGAAAAGGUCUCUAUUAAUACUAGGGGCUCAAGACGGUACUGUAAGAAUAGGCACCGGCUAACUACGUGCCAGCAGCCGCGGUAA